This 163-nucleotide unclassified non-coding RNA is filed under the name uncultured Xylariales. Its description in RNAcentral is "sequence contains ITS1". The record is from RNAcentral. Lineage: Eukaryota; Fungi; Ascomycota; Sordariomycetes; Xylariales.
CAGAGUUACCAAACUCCAAAACCCAUGUGAACUUACCAGUUUGUUGCCUCGGCAGGCCUCCGCGUAUCGUCUCCGGGCGGGCGCGGGUACCACGGGCCUGCCGGCGGUCCCAUUAAACUCAUGAAUUACCCUGUAAAUCUGAGCGUUUAUAACAAAUAAGUUA